Molecule: ribosomal RNA, 492 nt
Filed under: uncultured bacterium
Lineage: Bacteria
Description: partial 16S ribosomal RNA
Rfam family: Bacterial small subunit ribosomal RNA
Source: RNAcentral
AGUGAACGCUGGCGGUAGGCCUAACACAUGCAAGUCGAACGACAGCACAGUAAGAGCUUGCUCUUACGGGUGGCGAGUGGCGGACGGGUGAGGAAUACAUCGGAAUCUACUUUUUCGUGGGGGAUAACGUAGGGAAACUUACGCUAAUACCGCAUACGACCUACGGGUGAAAGCAGGGGAUCUUCGGACCUUGCGCGAUUGAAUGAGCCGAUGUCGGAUUAGCUAGUUGGCGGGGUAAAGGCCCACCAAGGCGACGAUCCGUAGCUGGUCUGAGAGGAUGAUCAGCCACACUGGAACUGAGACACGGUCCAGACUCCUACGGGAGGCAGCAGUGGGGAAUAUUGGACAAUGGGCGCAAGCCUGAUCCAGCCAUACCGCGUGGGUGAAGAAGGCCUUCGGGUUGUAAAGCCCUUUUGUUGGGAAGGAAAAGCAGCAGGUUAAUACCCCGCUGUUCUGACGGUACCCGAAGAAUAAGCACCGGCUAACUUCGUG